RNAcentral lists this ribosomal RNA (445 nucleotides) under uncultured bacterium. Its description in RNAcentral is "partial 16S ribosomal RNA". It matches the Rfam family "Bacterial small subunit ribosomal RNA", at positions 354 to 796 of the family's 1533-position model. The record is from RNAcentral.
GUGAGGAAUAUUGGUCAAUGGGCGAGAGCCUGAACCAGCCAAAUCGCGUGAAGGAUGAAGGUAUUAUGUAUUGUAAACUUCUUUUAUCGGGGAAUAAAGUGCGGGACGUGUCCCGUUUUGUAUGUACCCGAAGAAUAAGGAUCGGCUAACUCCGUGCCAGCAGCCGCGGUAAUACGGAGGAUCCAAGCGUUAUCCGGAUUUAUUGGGUUUAAAGGGUGCGUAGGCGGACUGUCAAGUCAGCGGUGAAAGUCCAUGGCUCAACCAUGGAAUUGCCGUUGAAACUGUCGGUCUUGAGUGUAGAUGAGGUAGGCGGAAUUCGUAGUGUAGCGGUGAAAUGCUUAGAUAUUACGAAGAACUCCAAUUGCGUAGGCAGCUUACCAGGCUACAACUGACGCUGAGGCACGAAGGUGCGGGGAUCAAACAGGAUUAGAUACCCGUGUAGUCC